This is a non-coding RNA of Anas platyrhynchos (mallard), 4203 nucleotides long. The record is from RefSeq and is a predicted model, not a curated record. Lineage: Eukaryota; Metazoa; Chordata; Aves; Anseriformes; Anatidae.
CACAAAACAUAAUUCAUCAUACCUUUUGUUUGGAGGAGAGUGUUUGGAAGAUAUAGCAGAUGUAAAAGGAGGCUGCCCACCUGCUUUGCUGUGUUAACCACAGGGAGCACAUUACACCAAUUACUAAAAAACUUCACUGACUUUAUUUGCUUCUUGUUGCAAGUCAGAAAAUGAAGAGAGUUGACAAGGUUUAAAAGAUCUCUAAACCUUUGGAUUCUUGACACCUGAGACAGUUCAGCAAUCAGCUCACUGUAAAUGCUCUAGAUGAAAAUACACAGAACCAGAUCCCUACUUUCUGAAAAGAAGCACUGCUGAAUUACCUGAGAUGCAAACUCUGAGUUAAAGAGAAAAAGACUCAAAAAUUCCAACUUCUAGAAGAAAGCAAGCUAUUUUUCUUAAAGCGCUCCAAAACCAGCAUAUUAGACCGAAUGUGAUUUAUGAGAAGUCAGCAUCCUCUACAUCUUUAAGGGCAAAACCUAUUUAACAGUAGCUGAACUAGUAUGGACAGAGCCUUCUACAGGUGGAGGAUUCUCAAGAUUCCCCCUCCCCCCUUCCAGGUAACAACACAGAAAAACAAAGUAAAUUUUACUUCAUUUGGGAGGAGACAAUAUGCAUCAAGAAAACAAACAAAACUCCUGGCACUGAACUGUGUCUCAAGAUGCAGUAGCUACAGUGCUGUUCUUAAACUGCUCGAUAGAUACCUGUGUUCCUGGGAAGCUGUGUUUCUGCUGUGGCCAACUUUCUCCCUUAGGACAUACCCAAGCAUGAAGAUACCAGUUUCUUUAUACAUCAUGUAUGGAUGGAAUUGACUAGGUAAUCUCUGUAUGUCUUACUUUUGGAGUCUGCUCCAAGAGAUGUAGUUUCUUAUGUUUACCAGGCCAACUCUUGAACAGAAAUGUAACAAGAAUUAUUGUGGCCUCUGCAGCUUUCCUGCUGGCUUAAAAUACUUGCACAAGAAACAGUAUAUCUAGGUUCAAAGCACUUAAUCUGAAGUGGAGCAGCAUAUGGAUCAUUGGUCUCCUGCUAACAAAGGAACUGCCAUUAUUAUGGAGUUACUAGGCACUUUGAGAAAGGGAGAGGAAUCUCUUUAGAAGUAAAACAUUUCCCUUUAAUAAAUAUAUAAAGAUGUAGAUGAAUACUGAAUACUUAAUAACAUAAUAACUACAUCAUUAAGACUCAGAUUCACUCCCAACAUGACAAAAUUAUAUUCAUACUCUCAUAAGCUCCUGUUAGAAUUAAUGGCAAGAUCACAGCCUAAGAUGAGAAUAUCCUUCCAGAGACAGUUGUAUUACAAAAUAUGAAGUCUGAAGCGGCUACGUUCAGCAGUCAGAUGCUGAAAACUAGGUUUGAUAAUGCCAGGCUAAUCUAAAUGACCUUGGUUCCUGUCGUUGCUCUCGUUAAAGACUAAGUACAUGUAUGUUAUGCAAAAUAAAAACACUUUGACAAGAGACUAAGUUAACCGCAGAACACUGUAUAUCCUAUUUCCUGCAUACUUUCUCAGGAGUCUGAAACUCUAGGAACAUUUUUUUUCUAAUUCCCAGGGAAGGAUGUGCCAAUAGGUUAUCCAAGUAUCAGCAGACUGCUGUAAUAGCUUAGAUAAAGCUGCCACAUUCUGUUUUUUGUUUGUUUUUUAAUGUUGCUGUGCUUAGGUAUCUAACUAAAGGGAGUGGUUCACUCCCACUAGGAACCCAGAGUGCUCACAGGCACCUAGCCAACUUUGUGGCACUUCCAGAUAGUUCCCAGCUCAGCAAACAUGUGAAUCAUAUUCUUAUACACAGCUCUUCUUAUACUGCAUAAGAAAAAUAGGUGACUGCUUGAAGUAAUGCAGAAAGAUGUACAAUAGCAGGAAGUGGCAUUGUUCCCUGUAUGGCUAAUACAGAAAAAGACGCCAUGAGGCCUCCACUCUAAAUCACUGUCUGGUGAGGUGCCUAUCUUUUGCCAUUGAUCAAAUGGACCAUAGUCGAUGGACCUCUGUGAUUAGUGAAUAGCUUGCCUCUCUCCUUGUAAAUCUAAGCCUUUCUCAUGGAUUUAACCCUUUAGUCCACACAGAAGACAAAUUUGGAUUUAAGUUAGAUUAGUCUGGCUUUUUUUUUUUUUUCCAGCGAAAAAAAUGAAAGUUUAAUACAGUACAAAGGUGAAUGAAUGAUUUUUGGUGUUUGAAAUCAAUCCAGGGCUAAUUUUCUAUUCCUGGCUAAAAAUGACAAAAUCACGUUGCUGAAAACUAAUGCGUCAAACUAGUCAAGAUUUUCAGGGAUUAUUAUUUGUUUAUCUCUAGGGAAAUCAAGAAUUGAUGCAGAGAGAAGAUAUUUUUUACUAAGUGUCUUGCAACAGUAAUUUAUUCAUAAUGCUCUAGUAAGCUCUAGUCAAGAAAAUCCUUGUACUGUUGUGACAAUGUCUAUAUAAAAAUAUUGAUAACUGUACACAUAAUUUGCAUCCUCUAUCUGUCAAACUCAUGUCCUGUUUUGGCUACCUAAAGUGCAAUAUAUUAAACUUAUUUAUAAGAAAUUGACUUUCUUGUUUAGUAUAAGAAUUGGUACGCUAAGAAUAUGGUUCUGUGUCCAGCUUUCAACUUGUGUAAAUUAGGAUGGUUAAGAGACACUCAACUGUCUCUCUUACUUCCAAUGCAUUAAUCAAAAGUAUUUUCAACACAUACCCCAUGUUCAGUGAGAAUAGUACAUAAGCUGUAAGUAGCAUUUUGUUGUGACUGCAAUAAUGCAGAAAACUCCCAUGCUAAAACUGUCACUCACAACUUAGUUAAUAAUGUUAUUUUGAUAUUUUACUGCAAUUUCCAAAGCUCCUCUUUUAGUUUACAAAAACUGGAGCUUUAAAAUACUAAGUUACAACAACAUAUUUUCUCUAAUGGAAAGUAAGGACUUCACAAAAACAAAAGGAUUUCACCAAUCAAGGCAUUAUUUAUUUCAAGAUAACUAACAAAAAAAAUAAUUUAAUUAUGCCCCUGUAUCAACACCAUGUGACUUUCAAAAUUUUCUGGCAGACCAGGAAUCCAUAACUAGAACACAUUCCCUUAACAGCACAAAUAUUUGGAUUAAUUGCAUUAAAAAAAACUAAUUUAGGAGGAUUUGGGAAUGUUUUUACAAGGUUUAGGAAGGAUUUCAUUAGGAUUACACGAUCAGUAACUUUCAGUGUACUUAACUGUUCGCAUUAACUCUCUAGGCAACCAUGAAACAGAUCAGUCAUCUGCUGCUCUGCUGCUUAUUAAUUCUUAUCCAAGAUUUUGUCACCAUAAAGGGAAUGUCUUUAUAGUUCAUUGUAUACUUCAACCAGCCAGAAUUAAAAAACUGUGCCUUAAUGAGAAUCUCAAUGCUGACAUGGUUCUUCUGACUGUUGGAUUUAAAAGAGCAGGGUGCACUUGUCUUCUGCGUAUUUCUGUUGUCUUGUGUGUUCCAUUCAGAGAAAUUGAACUUUAGUCUGUGGCUUAACAUGACAUUUCAGUUAAGUUAGUCUGCUUUUGUCACAUGAUAAUAUUCCUUGCCAACUUUUUUUUUUUUUUUCAAAGCUCUGUUAAUUGCAAACUUAACAAAUGUAUUUAAACUGUGUGCCAGUGUUCUAAGGACAACACAUUAAUCCAAGGGAGAAAAUGCACAUAAAACAAAGAGUUUAAGCAAUUGGAUAUUGGUAGCUCUACUCUUGCAAAUUAACCACAUCGGUUUUAUGUCAAAUGCCCUGAGCUAAGAACUGGUACAAGGCAGGGAAAUUAGGGCUCUUGUGAAAGUUCUGGAAAAUGGAAACAAACAAAUAAAAAAGAAUGUGUAUGCUUCUCAUAAUUAUGGGAAACCUGAUUUUUUAAAAAUAAACGUACUUUUGAUUUGAUUGUCUAAUGAGAUCAUAACUGCAGUAAUGUGUCAACUAUGUCAGAAACAAUAUGAGUGUCCAGUUGUGAGCACACUGUUCUAUUGUAUGCUAAUAUCUGAAUGUAAAUAUUGCAAAUGCACAAACAAAUCAAGAAAUGUCACCCAAGAAUGCCCCUGGGAAACAUAACAGAGGCAGCUGUGCAAACAACUGUAAUAACAGGGAAUAAAUUUAUGAGCAUAUGUAGAUUUACUCAGUUUCUGUUGCAAAAAUAGAUUUUACCUUUCACCGCAGGUGACUUGUCAUUAUUUGCUACAUCUAUUAUCAUAGUACAAUAGAUCGCUAUGAUUUCAUUGAUGGAACAGCAGACAGGAAGUAUAAAAUGUUCAAAUA